This 301-nucleotide ribosomal RNA is filed under the name uncultured bacterium. Its description in RNAcentral is "partial 16S ribosomal RNA". It matches the Rfam family "Bacterial small subunit ribosomal RNA", at positions 509 to 807 of the family's 1533-position model. The record is from RNAcentral.
CAGCAGCCACGGUAAUACAGAGGGUGCGAGCGUUAAUCGGAUUUACUGGGCGUAAAGCGUGCGUAGGCGGCUUCUUAAGUCGGAUGUAAAAUCCCUGAGCUUAACUUAGGAAUUGCAUUCGAUACUGGGAAGCUAGAGUAUGGGAGAGGAUGGUAGAAUUCCAGGUGUAGCGGUGAAAUGCGUAGAGAUCUGGAGGAAUACCGAUGGCGAAGGCAGCCAUCUGGCCUAAUACUGACGCUGAGGUACGAAAGCAUGGGGAGCAAACAGGAUUAGAUACCCCAGUAGUCCCUGUCUCUUAUAC